AGCGGUUUGGUAGCCUGUGGCCGCCGUGGUGUACGGGAAGCCGGUCGAAUGCCGGCGCGGCCCUCGCCACUGUAGCCGCGGAGUUCCGCAGCCCUCGCCGACCGCUCCCCAGGCGGUCGGGGUCACUGGAUGGAUCGGGAACGAGCCAACCGGGAAGGCCGGCCGCGGAGCGUCGAUGCGGAAGCCAGGAGACCGGCCACGGCGCGACAUGUUCC
This 215-nucleotide non-coding RNA is filed under the name Embleya scabrispora. Lineage: Bacteria; Bacillati; Actinomycetota; Actinomycetes; Kitasatosporales; Streptomycetaceae. The record is from RNAcentral.